Antrostomus carolinensis (chuck-will's-widow) is the source of this 533-nucleotide long non-coding RNA. RefSeq lists it as uncharacterized. The transcript has 3 exons. Lineage: Eukaryota; Metazoa; Chordata; Aves; Caprimulgiformes; Caprimulgidae. The record is from RefSeq and is a predicted model, not a curated record.
AUGUCUACACUACGUAGCGGUCGUAAAAAGCAGCCAGCCAGCCCUGAUGGUAGAGCCUCACCUAUUAAUGAAGACAUUCGUUCCAGUGGCCGCAACUCUCCUAGCGCUGCCAGCACCUCCAGCAAUGACAGCAAAGCAGAUUCAGUGAAGAAAUCUACCAAGAAGAUAAAAGAAGAGGUAUCUUCUCCUCUCAAGAACUCCAAGAGGCAGCGGGAAAAGACAGCUUCUGACACAGAGGAACCUGACAGGUCCAAUGCCAAAAAAUCCAAAACUCAAGAGAUCAGCAGGCCAAACUCUCCCUCUGAGGGUGAGGGUGAAGGUGAGAGCUCUGACAGCCGCAGCGUCAAUGACGAAGGGAGCAGUGAUCCCAAGGACAUUGACCAGGAUAACCGGAGCACAUCACCCAGCAUCCCUAGCCCUCAAGACAAUGAGAGCGACUCGGAUUCAUCCGCUCAACAGCAAGUGCUGCAGGCGCAGCCCCAAGCGCUUCAGGCACAGAGUGGUUCUGGCCAAGUUCCUCCUCCUACACCACC